AUACGAAGGGUGCAAGCGUUAAUCGGAAUUACUGGGCGUAAAGCGCGCGUAGGUGGUUCGUUAAGUUGGAUGUGAAAGCCCCGGGCUCAACCUGGGAACUGCAUCCAAAACUGGCGAGCUAGAGUAUAGCAGAGGGUGGUGGAAUUUCCUGUGUAGCGGUGAAAUGCGUAGAUAUAGGAAGGAACACCAGUGGCGAAGGCGACCACCGGGGCUAAUACGGGCCCUGAGGUGCGAAAGCGGGGGGAGCAAACAGGAUUAGAUGCCCUGGUAGUCCACGCCGUAAACGAUGUCGACUAGCCGUUGGGAUCCUUGAGAUCUUAGUGGCGCAGCUAACGCAUUAAGUCGACCGCCUGGGGAGUACGGCCGCAAGGUUAAAACUCAAAUGAAUUGACGGGG
RNAcentral lists this ribosomal RNA (396 nucleotides) under uncultured bacterium. RNAcentral describes it as "partial 16S ribosomal RNA". It matches the Rfam family "Bacterial small subunit ribosomal RNA", at positions 523 to 918 of the family's 1533-position model. The record is from RNAcentral.